AUGACCCACCCUAGGCACUCAGUUGACUUUGAGCCUAUGAAGCGAGACACAGUGAUUGCCCAGAGACCCAGCUCUACCCCACACCCUAUUGUGCAGUCACAGAAUUCCCACAGUCAUAAUGUGCUGGGCUCCCACAGUCCCAGGAAGCAGGGGAUCCACCCUCAGCCCCGAGAGCCUGCUCUGUCCACAGAGGAAGCCGUGACAUUCUCAGAGCCAGCUGUCUGUCAGUACCACCUUGGCAGUGUGAGCCUGAGAGCCUGUGAUAGAGUGGGAGGAAGGGAGCACCUCACAGGCUCAAGUGGGCACCCUGUCUCCUGCCAACAGUCUGGGCCAGACUCAAGAUGCAAAAUGGUUUCCACAUUCCCAAAUAGGGAAUCUACAUCCCAGAAAGGAAUAAACAGAGGGAUGGCACUGGCCCUCUUCUGCUUGAAUCUCAAUAGACAGAAUUCUUUCACUUGACUGCUACUAAGAGGCUCUUGAAGUAUUUGCCAAUAUUAUCCUCAAAUUCCAC
RNAcentral lists this long non-coding RNA (511 nucleotides) under Oryctolagus cuniculus (rabbit). RNAcentral describes it as "lncRNA (ENSOCUG00000033862.1)". The record is from RNAcentral. Lineage: Eukaryota; Metazoa; Chordata; Mammalia; Lagomorpha; Leporidae.